This is a long non-coding RNA of Nematostella vectensis (starlet sea anemone), 1632 nucleotides long. RefSeq lists it as uncharacterized. NCBI's taxonomy places the organism in Eukaryota, Metazoa, Cnidaria, Anthozoa, Actiniaria, Edwardsiidae. The record is from RefSeq and is a predicted model, not a curated record. The transcript is spliced from 2 exons.
UGGUUUUGUGGUCAUCACGCGGGUAUCCUGUGGUGUCACAAUCCAUCCAUCCAGUCAAUCGUGCAACUCCCAGGCCCCCUCGGUCUUACGUUUUUGCGUAUUUUUGUUUCUUUACCGGCAUCAAAGUUCGUAUGUUCACAGCAAAAUAGGCAGAUUGAAAAUAGUAUUUAAUGAGAAAAUAUGCGGAUUCAAAUGGGCUAAAAUCUUUGAGGAACCGUUUUGUCUUAAGUACGAGCCGAUAGUAAAAUCUACCCGAGUGUUCGUGAAUCCAGUCCGUUGCAGCAGCAAAAAGAGGACUACUUAGAGGCUCUACACUACCAUUCUAAUAACAUUCCCUCACGUCUAUAUCUAUGGAGAUCUAUAAGGAGAUCCUGAGAAGAAAGGGCCUUGGAUUUAUGUAUGUUUUCAGCUAUAAAAAUAAUUCACUUGUGUCGACGAGUUUCUUGCUAGCAGAAAGUCGACAAGUUCACAAUUUACAACAAAAAGCGAACACAACCACACAAGCGACAAACAGAAAGCGACGAAAAACACUGCCAAGGUAAAACCAACCAAGGACUACCGGAGGGCCAUGAUUUAUGCUGAAGGCUGGGAGGCAUGACAAUAGGCAAAUGUCUUAAAGAUAAUAAAGUAGGGGAUUUCUUACUUUGAUACAGCAGUAAAUGUGAAAUCUCUCUCAAUCUCUCAAUUGAUUCUCCUCCUUGCAUUUAAUUUUGGAGUAGCAUUAGCAUAUGUGGAUCCAUGGUUUCUAUAUAAAAACAGCAGGCCUCCAUCCUACAGGGUGGGUGCACCAAUGUCUAAUGCAUGACUGGAGGUAUGUUUGUGAAUUUUAAUUUCCUUGGUGAUGGAGUAUCACCAGUAAUAAGUGAUAUAUUAAUCUUCCAUAUGGCACCUGAAGUGUAUCUAACUGUAUCAUUCUAUCUUUGGAAUGCUGUUGCAUCCAUCAUUUGUUUCUUUGCAAGGGCAAAGCUGGUCAAAAUGUAGCUUUGAUACAAGUGUACAUUAAUGAAACUUCUAUCAAGGGAAGGGUUUUUUAUUAGAGCAAGGUAGAGCAAGGAACUCUCCAGAAGGAUAGACGGGGGUGCUCGACCUAUCUUUUAUGGUAUAAUAUUCUCACCAACUUCUAUCUCUUAGGGUGUGUUUUAGGAUUUUUCCGAUUCUGCUAUCUUCUAGGGGUUUUCACGCCCGGGGAGGAGUAUUUUUCCGAUUCUGCUAUCUUUUAGGGUGUCUCAUGCUAAGUGGUGGCCCAAUCGCUUGAAAUGUAUUAAACCACAAGUCAACUGAUCAGUUAAUACUUUCGACUUUAUUGUCGGUAACAUAACAAUAUAGGAUCCGUCAGCAAAUUAAAACCAGCAUUGUUUUUUUUAAUGCUAUCUCUCAGGGUUAAAAAUUCCUCUGACCACACCCAAUGUGCUAUUUCUUAGAGGUAAGAAUUGUUGUUGACAAUGCCCUUAGUGCUAUCCCUUAGGGUUAAAAUUAGUUAUGCUGUCGAGCACCCCCGUCUCUCAAACUUCUGUUUCCCAAAGUCCCCCCCCCCACCUCCCCGUGGGAGCAAGGUACUUAAUUAUAUAAAGACAACAUCAAACUUGUGCUUUUUCAAUAAUAAAUCUGUAAAGAAAACAGUUUUAUAUCAAA